GGAAAGGCGCGCGAUACAGGGUGACAGCCCCGUACACAAAAAUGCACAUGCUGUGAGCUCGAUGAGUAGGGCGGGACACGUGGUAUCCUGUCUGAAUAUGGGGGGACCAUCCUCCAAGGCUAAAUACUCCUGACUGACCGAUAGUGAACCAGUACCGUGAGGGAAAGGCGAAAAGAACCCCGGCGAGGGGAGUGAAAAAGAACCUGAAACCGUGUACGUACAAGCAGUGGGAGCACGCUUAGGCGUGUGACUGCGUACCUUUUGUAUAAUGGGUCAGCGACUUAUAUUCUGUAGCAAGGUUAACCGAAUAGGGGAGCCGAAGGGAAACCGAGUCUUAACUGGGCGUUAAGUUGCAGGGUAUAGACCCGAAACCCGGUGAUCUAGCCAUGGGCAGGUUGAAGGUUGGGUAACACUAACUGGAGGACCGAACCGACUAAUGUUGAAAAAUUAGCGGAUGACUUGUGGCUGGGGGUGAAAGGCCAAUCAAACCGGGAGAUAGCUGGUUCUCCCCGAAAGCUAUUUAGGUAGCGCCUCGUGAAUUCAUCUCCGGGGGUAGAGCACUGUUUC
This 567-nucleotide ribosomal RNA is filed under the name Escherichia coli. RNAcentral describes it as "partial 23S ribosomal RNA". It matches the Rfam family "Bacterial large subunit ribosomal RNA", at positions 344 to 916 of the family's 2925-position model. Lineage: Bacteria; Pseudomonadati; Pseudomonadota; Gammaproteobacteria; Enterobacterales; Enterobacteriaceae. RNAcentral also lists the same sequence under 1 other name. The record is from RNAcentral.